Brienomyrus brachyistius is the source of this 452-nucleotide long non-coding RNA. RefSeq lists it as uncharacterized. The record is from RefSeq and is a predicted model, not a curated record. The transcript has 3 exons. NCBI's taxonomy places the organism in Eukaryota, Metazoa, Chordata, Actinopteri, Osteoglossiformes, Mormyridae.
GCUUUUUGUGCCGUUUGUGUCCCCGACUUACAAGUUGAGCUGCCAUGUUUACCUGCGCCUCCAGGAAAACGCGACCAAGCGUCCAGAAGAGCAUCUUGGACUACUUCGUCAGGGGGCAGCCAUGCAGCAUGUGCAAGGAUCAGUGCCCAGGGUUCCUCGUGCACAGAUGGAGGCAGCUAGAGGGGGUGGUCCACAGACUGCGGGCCCCUGCCCGGCUGCUCCCCAGCCUGACUCAGACGAGCCGCGCAUCCUCGUCACCAGGCAUGACGAAUCCGACAGCGUGCGUGCGACACCACAGGAGGCAGCAUGGCAGCCUGCCCUCGUGCAGACAGACAGGGAGGCGAAUGAUCCGUUAGUUGGGUGCCGUCAGAGUUCUCAGGUUACGAGACUCCUUCCCAUCAUAUAUGGGAUUUAACCCUGGCUGGAAUGACGUGCGUUUAAAUGCUGAUAUU